Non-coding RNA from Dermacentor andersoni, 803 nucleotides. The record is from RefSeq and is a predicted model, not a curated record. Lineage: Eukaryota; Metazoa; Arthropoda; Arachnida; Ixodida; Ixodidae.
AUAGUAAAGCCCACGGUAAAGCCAAUGCCUCGUAAAGCAUGGUAAAGCCACGGCAAAGCCAUAGAGAAACCAAAGCCAUGGGCCCAUGGCCCUACCAUGGUAAAAACUAGAACAGCCGUACAGCGUUGGUCAGCAUCAGCAUUGCGGAAAACGUCAUGGAGGGGCUUUAGUUGACGAUGUGGAAGUUAGCAAGGCCCCCUCAUGUUCGUAACAGAACGUGUUUGCCUCGUUCGCUGGCUUUCGAAGAAAAUACUUUCCUCUGGCUGGCGCGGCAAAGGGCAGUGUAUUGACGUUGGACUGAGAACAAAUUGCAGCAGCGCCAACGAGACUCUUCAGGCCGAAGCGGGAACAUUGCGGUCACUGAAUCAACUGAGGCAAGUGUUAGACAGAAUGAAGUAAACUUCAACAUGCGAUCCUCCUGCAAAAUUUCAGCAAGAACAGUACAGCGAGUCUGAAAGGUUUUCAUGCUGCAUUGGUUGGACUGUGCGGAUAUCGGUGCACUGGCAGCGUCGUCCCAGUGUGGGCAAAGUUAUCGUCGACACGGCAUGAAACCGCGUCAUUGUUCACCAACUCUCAAAUUUAACAAAAUAAAAAUUUUUUCUGACUGCCCGAUAAUAUGGAAAUCUUUACAGCCCCUUCUGUGUAAGAAAAAUCGGACGGCAGCUGUAUUCAUCUGCAAAAAGGUUGAAUUUCAGUAUAAUGAAACUUCGACGAAACGAAGUAAAGUGCCGAUUUUACUGACUCUGUUAUAUCGAGGUUCAACUGCCUCCUUUACAUCCUAUUAUACUCGUUAUAAGCGUCAA